AUUGAACGCUGGCGGCAGGCCUAACACAUGCAAGUCGAGCGGUAGAGAGGAGCUUGCUUCUCUUGAGAGCGGCGGACGGGUGAGUAAUGCCUAGGAAUCUGCCUGGUAGUGGGGGAUAACGCUCGGAAACGGACGCUAAUACCGCAUNCGUCCUACGGGAGAAAGCAGGGGACCUUCGGGCCUUGCGCUAUCAGAUGAGCCUAGGUCGGAUUAGCUAGUUGGUGAGGUAAUGGCUCACCAAGGCGACGAUCCGUAACUGGUCUGAGAGGAUGAUCAGUCACACUGGAACUGAGACACGGUCCAGACUCCUACGGGAGGCAGCAGUGGGGAAUAUUGGACAAUNGGCGAAAGCCUGAUCCAGCCAUGCCGCGUGUGUGAAGAAGGUCUUCGGAUUGUAAAGCACUUUAAGUUGGGAGGAAGGGCAUUAACCUAAUACGUUGGUGUCUUGACGUUACCGACAGAAUAAGCACCGGCU
RNAcentral lists this ribosomal RNA (475 nucleotides) under Pseudomonas sp. NN018580. RNAcentral describes it as "bacterial SSU rRNA". It matches the Rfam family "Bacterial small subunit ribosomal RNA", at positions 30 to 498 of the family's 1533-position model. The record is from RNAcentral. Lineage: Bacteria; Pseudomonadati; Pseudomonadota; Gammaproteobacteria; Pseudomonadales; Pseudomonadaceae.